UACGUAGGGGGCAAGCGUUGUCCGGAAUCAUUGGGCGUAAAGCGCGUGUAGGCGGUCCGGUAAGUCCGCUGUGAAAGUCGGGGGCUCAACCCUCGAAUGCCGGUGGAUACUGUCGGGCUAGAGUGCGGAAGAGGCGAGUGGAAUUCCUGGUGUAGCGGUGAAAUGCGCAGAUAUCAGGAGGAACACCAAUUGCGAAGGCGACUUUCUGGGCUGUAACUGACGCUGAGGCGCGAAAGCGUGGGGAGCAAACAGG
RNAcentral lists this ribosomal RNA (253 nucleotides) under uncultured bacterium. RNAcentral describes it as "partial 16S ribosomal RNA". It matches the Rfam family "Bacterial small subunit ribosomal RNA", at positions 524 to 776 of the family's 1533-position model. The record is from RNAcentral.